Molecule: ribosomal RNA, 301 nt
Filed under: uncultured bacterium
Lineage: Bacteria
Description: partial 16S ribosomal RNA
Rfam family: Bacterial small subunit ribosomal RNA
Source: RNAcentral
CAGCAGCCGCGGUAAUACAGAGGGUGCGAGCGUUAAUCGGAUUUACUGGGCGUAAAGCGUGCGUAGGCGGCUUCUUAAGUCGGAUGUGAAAUCCCUGAGCUUAACUUAGGAAUUGCAUUCGAUACUGGGAAGCUAGAGUAUGGGAGAGGAUGGUAGAAUUCCAGGUGUAGCGGUGAAAUGCGUAGAGAUCUGGAGGAAUACCGAUGGCGAAGGCAGCCAUCUGGCCUAAUACUGACGCUGAGGUACGAAAGCAUGGGGAGCAAACAGGAUUAGAUACCCGUGUAGUCCCUGUCUCUUAUAA